CCUACGGGAGGCAGCAGUGGGGAAUUUUGGACAAUGGGCGAAAGCCUGAUCCAGCAAUGCCGCGUGAGUGAAGAAGGCCUUCGGGUUGUAAAGCUCUUUUGUCAGGGAAGAAACGGUGAGGGCUAAUAUCCCUUGCUAAUGACGGUACCUGAAGAAUAAGCACCGGCUAACUACGUGCCAGCAGCCGCGGUAAUACGUAGGGUGCAAGCGUUAAUCGGAAUUACUGGGCGUAAAGCGUGCGCAGGCGGUUUUGUAAGUCUGUCGUGAAAUCCCCGGGCUCAACCUGGGAAUUGCGAUGGAGACUGCAAGGCUAGAAUCUGGCAGAGGGGGGUAGAAUUCCACGUGUAGCAGUGAAAUGCGUAGAGAUGUGGAGGAACACCGAUGGCGAAGGCAGCCCCCUGGGUCAAGAUUGACGCUCAUGCACGAAAGCGUGGGGAGCAAACAGGAUUAGAUACCCUGGUAGUCCACGCCCUAAACGAUGUCUACUAGUUGUCGGGUUUUAAUUAACUUGGUAACGCAGCUAACGCGUGAAGUAGACCGCCUGGGGAGUACGGUCGCAAGNUUAAAACUUAAAUGAAUUGACGG
Molecule: ribosomal RNA, 585 nt
Filed under: uncultured bacterium
Lineage: Bacteria
Description: bacterial SSU rRNA
Rfam family: Bacterial small subunit ribosomal RNA
Source: RNAcentral